RNAcentral lists this long non-coding RNA (1199 nucleotides) under Sus scrofa (pig). RNAcentral describes it as "lncRNA (ENSSSCG00030028271.1, ENSSSCG00060075765.1)". The record is from RNAcentral. Lineage: Eukaryota; Metazoa; Chordata; Mammalia; Artiodactyla; Suidae.
AUGAGGCAUUUCUGUGUUGAUUCUUUUCCUGAGACAUCUAUAUAAAGCAAACAACCCCUUUCUUCUCUUCGCAAAGGAAAAAAGAGAAUGGAGGAGACCUUUGUGAACCUGUGCUAGUCAUCUGGUCUCAACCCAGGAUAGUCAGGUUCCUGGGUUCUCUCACCUGGCUCAGACCUCAGCCUUUGGGCCCAUGCUUGCCUGGAAAGAGGAUGCAGAAUUCAAGACACUGUUGAAGAUACGGAAGGAGGAGAUGCUUAAAAGGAAUAUCAUACUCUCCAGAAGGUAAGGUUAGGGAGGGUGGAUACAUGAAAGAUAAUUUAUGAUUUAGUUAAUGUGAUUCAUAGGACAUUAAAGUAUAACUGUGAAGAUAAUCAAUAGAUAUUUACUGUGCAUCUACCUUCAUGGUACUUUUUAUUUUAUUUUUUUUAAACUGACUAUGUUGUACCAUAAACUAUUUAUUGGGUAUAGUUGGGAGAGAAUAUGUUCUAUUUAUUUCAGCUUUGGGCUAGUAUAUAUUAUAUGACAUAUAUUUAUUUUAGUAAAAUUGACUAGAAUACAUAAUUAUCAAGUUAUAUUUAUGUUUUAUAUUUAGUUUUGUAAUUUAAUGUUUCAGUACAUCUAAUGGAAAAAAGAGCAGCUCAAGAAAAGGCAAAAAGACAAAAAAAAAAGGAAAAAAGCUCAAAUUAAGCAUUUGUGGGUUUUUUGCUUAUUAGUUAAACAAAAAUUACAUAAUACCAAAUGUGCUUUAAUCUUGAAUUAUUCAGAAGUCACAUUGUGAACUUGCAUAGCUUUAGGGCAGAUCAAAUGAGGCUGUAGACACAUUUAAAUGUAGCUGCAUUACCUAGAUGUAAGUUGAUUAAUGGUAAAUAUGGUGUUAGAUAGGAUAGAACAUGAAAGUACCUGGUAACAGGGAGUUGCAAUACAUAGAACGCUGAAUUUAUCCCAAGUUUAAAUUUAUUCAGCAGUAGAAAGCAUAUGAUCCAGCACAAUUAGGAAAAAAAAUGGAACUUGUACUGAAUACUUUUGUCUAAUAUAAAUGUGUUAAAUUGUACAUUGAGCAGAAAUUGUUGAAUGUAAGCUAUAUAUAAAGCACUUGGCCCUGCUCAUGAGGUAUGCCAUUCAGAGGGCCUGGAGUAUAGUACAUGUUCACUGAGAGUUUUUAAGAUGCCGAUGAAAUAAAACAAGGACCCAAAUAAACA